RNAcentral lists this ribosomal RNA (330 nucleotides) under uncultured bacterium. RNAcentral's name for it is "bacterial SSU rRNA". It matches the Rfam family "Bacterial small subunit ribosomal RNA", at positions 568 to 898 of the family's 1533-position model. The record is from RNAcentral.
CGCGUAGGUGGUAGUGUAAGUCUGGGGUGGAGUGCCGGGGCUUAACCCUGGAAUUGCCUUGGAAACUGCAUUACUUGAGUCAGUGAGGGGAGGGUAGAAUUCCUGGUGUAGCGGUGAAAUGCGUAGAUAUCAGGAGGAAGGCCUGUGGCGAAGGCGGCCCUCUGGCGCUGGACUGACACUGAGGCGCGAAAGCGUGGGGAGCAAACAGGAUUAGAUACCCUGGUAGUCCACGCCCUAAACGGUGGGCACUAGGUGUAGGGCUCGUAAGGGUUCUGUGCCGAAGGGAAACCAUUAAGUGCCCCGCCUGGGGAGUACGGCCGCAAGGUUGAA